GGCCCCAAUAGUGUUUCACAAUAAUACAAUCAUUUAUUACGGCCGACCACAUUAUAAUGAAAUAGCAUAUUCGUAAUAUUGCACUUUUAAUUACUGUCGGGUAUCGAUAAAAAAAAAAAAACGAAAUCAACAGCACUUGUUAUAAUAAUGAGUCGAACAGAUUAUUUCUGUGUUCAGUAAUCUAGUGUAUGUAUUAUUUUAAUGCAAUACGCAGCGGCACACAUAAUUUGGUAAUAAUAUCUAGUGACAAGUGCGAAUAUAAAUUUGUUUUAUUUAUUUUUUUUUUUUUUUUUUUCUAUCGAUACCCGAAUAUUAAUAAGUUGACAAAUUGUUUUUUUCCGAAAUUAAUAAUGUACACGUUUUACGAAGGAUAUCGUUUUUUCGGAAAUGUUUAGUUUUUGUUUUUUAUAACCGGUCAGGACAUCAAAAAGCAAUCUCGCAUACCCCGAUCAGUACGUAUAAUAUAAUAUUAUUAAUUUUUCAAUAGACGGGACUCAAAUUUUUUUUUUUUGUUUUUUUUUUUUAACAGUAAAAAUCAGUCUAAAUAAAAAACAACUAAAAUAAUAAUAUUUUCCGAGCAAAAGUCAAAUUUAAUAAUUACGUCGAGUACUGACAAGAUAUGAGGAGGGGGUAAACAAACACACAACUUCGCAUAGUAUACAGUGUUAGUUAUCACGGUGUCCGAUAAGAGUUAUUUACAAGUGUGUGAACUGGUAGCGGCAGUUUUGAAAUGUAAGACAUACAGCUAAUAGAGCAGGUAUUAAAAAUUUAAAAUUUACGCUAAAAAUAUCAUGUACUUUGUGUAACCGUUUCCUGCGGGAACUGUGCACUUAUCAUAUUGUUAAAUUUUAGUUUUAUAGUCAGCUAUUCGUGUACGUCAAGGCCAGUGGCGUAGCCUGAGGAAGGCACGGUGGCCGUGGCCAUUGAACAUAUUUUUUAGCGUUUCUAUUACAAUUGUGAAUAAUAUUUAUAUUACCUACUUUAUGGUUUGUGUAGUUUAUUUUCAUAUUUCGUCGACAAAAUAAGAACUGUGUUUUUAAAUGCAAAUAAGGAAGUUAACGGUAACAGAAAAAAAAAGGGCAACUUUGGAAUUUUCUUUUUUGUUCGGCCCUCUCCUUUAUCAGGAUAAAUCCUGAUUAUGCCUAAGAUAAACUCAGCGGUGCCUCGUCAGAUGAUUGGCAAGUGACGAGAAGCUUCAUUCAUAAAAUUGACUAACUACAACAAAUACAUUCAAUUUAUUAUGAACGCCAUAUUUUUAUUGAUUUCGUUAAAUACAUGUAUUAAAUCAAAAUAUGUUUUUUUUUUUUUUUGACAUUUUCAAAUUUCGAUGACUAAAGCCUAAAAUUAACAAACACCUAAUAACUAACGAUAACAGCACCUCGUGUUCUAUUUCUAAUAUAUUUGUCUCUCCGUGUUUUCAAAUGAAUUUUCAAAAUAUUCGCCUCACCACUUACACACAGGUCACGAGCGUCCACUAGUUUGGCCUAUAUUAUGAAGUCUGAGACCAGUAAAUUUUCUCGAUUCUAUUAAAUAUGUAUUGUCACUGUGGUUUCGCGUUUAGUUUACGAUCUACGUAACAUUUGAACCGUUGUGAAUAUUUCAUAUUUACGCCUUUAUAGAGGACGUCACACCGGCAUCUCCUGCCUCCGUCUUAUAAACGCAAGACAUAGCGAAUUUGCGCUCAAUAGGACAAAUAUGUCGUUUCGUUAGUUUUAAUAUUAAAGCGAAUUGGCCUAUUAUCAAACUUGAAGUUAAGAAUAUUGUACAAUGUGCCCUGGCGUUGAUGUUUUUUCGAUAUUUUAAUUUUUAAGCAAGACGUAAUCGUUUUUUAAUUCGGCUGUUUUCCAUACGCAUAUCUCAUUUAAAAAUUAAAACAUCGACACUAGAGCACAAAUAUAAUUAUGUACUUAAAGUUUGUUAACAGUUCGAUUCGCUUUAAUAUUAAAACUAACGGCAAGACAACAUAUUUUUUCCUACUGAACGAAAAUUUGCCAAAUGUCGCGCAUUUGCGAGACGGAGACACGGGAU
RNAcentral lists this long non-coding RNA (2028 nucleotides) under Cinara cedri. The record is from RNAcentral. Lineage: Eukaryota; Metazoa; Arthropoda; Insecta; Hemiptera; Aphididae.